RNAcentral lists this ribosomal RNA (305 nucleotides) under uncultured bacterium. RNAcentral's name for it is "bacterial SSU rRNA". It matches the Rfam family "Bacterial small subunit ribosomal RNA", at positions 337 to 639 of the family's 1533-position model. The record is from RNAcentral.
UCCUACGGGGGGCAGCAGUGAGGAAUAUUGGUCAAUGGUCGGGAGACUGAACCAGCCAAGCCGCGUGAGGGAUGAAGGUACAGAGUAUCGUAAACCUCUUUUGUCAGGGAACAAAGGCGGGGACGUGUCCCCGGAUGAGUGUACCUGAAGAAAAAGCAUCGGCUAACUCCGUGCCAGCAGCCGCGGUAAUACGGAGGAUGCGAGCGUUAUCCGGAAUUACUGGGCGUAAAGGGCGCGUAGGUGGGCGCUUAAGUCAGGUGUGAAAACUCCGGGCUCAACCUGGAGACUGCACUUGAAACUGGGUG